UGUUGAAAAAUUAUGAAAUUUAGUUUCCAAAUACUUUUAAUAGUAUAGAUCAAGUCUAACGGAGCCGAUCGUCGAUUUGGAAGCCGCAUCAUCGAAAACAACUAGGUAGGACGGGAGGCCCCGUGCUACCGAUAGUAAAGUAGCCGGACUCUAUAUAUAUAUAUAAUGUACCGAAUUUUUAAUAUAAAAAUAAAUGGAAAUAAAAAUAGUGUAACAUACUAUUUUUAUUAGACUUAAAUAAAUAAAAUAUAGGUCUGAAAUGACUUGUACUGAAAUUGGAAUAGAAACAGAAGAUUUACAAUUUUCUGUAAGAAUCGGGGUUAAUCUUUUAGCAAAAAAUUUACAGUGUUAGAAAAUUAUGAAAAUUCGAGAAUAUAUCGGAAUUAUUUUUCUGAGGCUAGAUUUAAAGUUUAAUGUCAUUCCGACACCCGAAAAGUGGAAAAUAAAAUCUGACUGCUAUCUACUAGAGAUUCUAAACAGUAGACUUUUCGGUGAUAAAAAAUAGUUUAAAACUGAAAAGUUAAUAUUUCGUUCUUCUUAUUAAUUUUAACCGAGUCUGACUGUCAAAAUUGAGCGUAAACGGACAUUCAGAAGGGCUCCGGUGAAAAGUAUCAGAUUUGAACUGGACUAAAUUUUAAGUUGUAAUGGGUGGGGG
This 655-nucleotide long non-coding RNA is filed under the name Ananas comosus (pineapple). Its description in RNAcentral is "long non-coding RNA (ACOM_LNC023373)". Lineage: Eukaryota; Viridiplantae; Streptophyta; Magnoliopsida; Poales; Bromeliaceae. The record is from RNAcentral.